This 466-nucleotide ribosomal RNA is filed under the name uncultured bacterium. RNAcentral describes it as "partial 16S ribosomal RNA". It matches the Rfam family "Bacterial small subunit ribosomal RNA", at positions 28 to 507 of the family's 1533-position model. The record is from RNAcentral.
GACGAACGCUGGCGGCGCGCCUAACACAUGCAAGUCGAACGAGCGAGAGAGAGCUUGCUUUCUCGAGCGAGUGGCGAACGGGUGAGUAACGCGUGAGGAACCGGCCUCAAGUGGGGGGACAACAGGUGGAAACGACUGCUAAUACCGCAUAGGCCCACGGCUCGGUGUCGAGCAGGGGGAAGAGGAGCAAUCCGCGUUUAGAUGGCCUCGCGUCCGAUUGUCUAGGUGGUGAGGUAACGGCCCACCAAGGCGACGAAAGGUAGCCGGACUGAGAGGUUGAACGGACACAUUGGGACUGAGACACGGCCCAGACUCCUACGGGAGGCAGCAGUGGGGAAUACUGCAAAAUGGGGGAUAUGCUGAUGCAGCGCCGCCGCGUGGAGGAAGAAGGUCUUAGGAUUGUACACUCCUGUUGUUCGGGAAGAUAAUGACGGUACCCAACAAGGAAGUGACGGCUAACUACGUG